RNAcentral lists this ribosomal RNA (510 nucleotides) under uncultured bacterium. RNAcentral's name for it is "partial 16S ribosomal RNA". It matches the Rfam family "Bacterial small subunit ribosomal RNA", at positions 29 to 523 of the family's 1533-position model. The record is from RNAcentral.
AACGAACGUUAGCGGCGCGCCUAACACAUGCAAGUCGAACGCGACAGGGGCAACUCUGUUGAGUGGCGCACGGGUGAGUAACACGUAGGUAAUCUCCCCCCGAGUGGUGGAUAACCUUCCGAAAGGAGGGCUAAUACAGCAUAAGACCACGGCUUCGGAAGGAGCUGAGGUCAAAGCGGAGGAUCGCAAGACUUCGCGCUCGGGGAUGAGCCUGCGGCCCAUCAGGUAGUUGGCGGGGUAACAGCCCACCAAGCCUAAGACGGGUAGCUGGUCUGAGAGGAUGAUCAGCCACACUGGAACUGAGACACGGUCCACACUCCUACGGGAGGCAGCAGUGGGGAAUCUUGCGCAAUGGACGAAAGUCUGACGCAGCGACGCCGCGUGGGUGAUGAAGGCCUUCGGGUUGUAAAGCCCUGUGGGGAGGGACGAAUAAGUUUCAGCUAAUACCUGAAGCGAUGACGGUACCUCCUUAGCAAGCACCGGCUAACUCUGUGCCAGCCGCCGCCGUAA